RNAcentral lists this ribosomal RNA (425 nucleotides) under Salmonella enterica. Its description in RNAcentral is "bacterial SSU rRNA". It matches the Rfam family "Bacterial small subunit ribosomal RNA", at positions 1 to 424 of the family's 1533-position model. Lineage: Bacteria; Pseudomonadati; Pseudomonadota; Gammaproteobacteria; Enterobacterales; Enterobacteriaceae. The record is from RNAcentral.
AAAUUGAAGAGUUUGAUCAUGGCUCAGAUUGAACGCUGGCGGCAGGCCUAACACAUGCAAGUCGAACGGUAGCACAGAGAGCUUGCUCUCGGGUGACGAGUGGCGGACGGGUGAGUAAUGUCUGGGAAACUGCCUGAUGGAGGGGGAUAACUACUGGAAACGGUGGCUAAUACCGCAUAACGUCGCAAGACCAAAGAGGGGGACCUUCGGGCCUCUUGCCAUCAGAUGUGCCCAGAUGGGAUUAGCUAGUUGGUGAGGUAACGGCUCACCAAGGCGACGAUCCCUAGCUGGUCUGAGAGGAUGACCAGCCACACUGGAACUGAGACACGGUCCAGACUCCUACGGGAGGCAGCAGUGGGGAAUAUUGCACAAUGGGCGCAAGCCUGAUGCAGCCAUGCCGCGUGUAUGAAGAAGGCCUUCGGGUU